UUACACUCCCAAGUCUCCAACCGACGAAACCCCUCGCGCGCGCUCUCUCUCUCUCUCUCCGUCUCCCGGCGCCCCCGACGCUUGGAUGGCUCCGAUCCAGUUGAAGCAAUCGCCGAGUUCCGCCCAAACCCUAACGCGGGGCGGGGCGACGGAGGCGAGGGCGGUGGUCAGGGAGUCGGUGCGGACGACGGCCGCUGCGACGCUCGCCGCGCCGCCUGUCGUGCCUUCUCUGCAUCCGCCGGCGGCGGAUCAGAUCCAGGCGGAGGUGAGGUUCGGGCCGGCCGUGGAUGGGCUCGCGGUGCACGCCGCCGCGGCCUCGUCUAGGAUCUUGUGCUGCGAGGAGAUCGAUGGGCGGCGGUGGAAUUAUGUGGUGGAUGUGGAAGCGACCGGGACGGUCCGGAGGGGUUCGUCGGCGGUGAAGGCGGUUUCGCUGCAGACGCCGGCGGCGCCUGUGGAGGAAUUGAUCUCAUUCAUAAGAUCGUAUGUAGUCCCUGAAGGCUUUCCAGAUAGCGUUACCCCUUCAUACGUUCCAUACAUGACAUGGCGAGCUUUGAAGCAUUUCUUUGGUGGAGCUAUGGGUGUUUUCACAACACAGACACUGUUGAGUUCUGUUGGAGUAUCUAGAAAUAGGGCCACACCAGGUGCUGUUGCUAUUAAUUGGAUACUUAAGGAUGGAGCUGGGCGUGUUGGCAAAAUGCUUUUUGCACGGCAAGGAAAGAAAUUUGACUAUGAUCUAAAGCAGCUUCGCUUCGCGGGUGAUCUUUUAAUGGAAUUGGGUGCUGGGGUAGAGUUAGCAACUUCUGCUGUUCCACAUCUUUUCUUACCAUUGGCUUGUGCAGCCAAUGUGGCAAAGAAUGUUGCUGCUGUGACUUCGACAUCAACACGCACUCCAAUUUACAAAGCUUAUGCAAAAGGAGAAAAUAUUGGUGAUGUCACUGCUAAAGGAGAAUGUGUUGGCAAUAUCGCAGAUCUGUUGGGGACUGGACUGAGUAUCUUGAUUUCGAAAAGAAACCCAUCCUUGCUUGCUUCAUUUGCCUUCCUGUCAUGUGGAUAUGUCCUUAGUUCAUAUCAGGAGGUGAAGUCAGUUGUUUUGAACACUCUAAAUAGAGCGAGAUUCACCGUGGCAGUGGAAUCUUUCAUUAAGACUGGGCAAGUUCCCUCACUGAAGGAAGGGAAUUCAAAGGAAAAUAUAUUCAGUCCUCCAUGGUUAAAACAUACACCUGUCAUUAUAGGUCCAAGAUUUGGGGAUGCAUUUCAGGAUCCUGCUUCAUUUCUUGCCACACAGUGCUUGUUUGAGAAAGAACGAUAUAUAGUCACCUAUAACCCAUCAAAGGAUAAAAUUUAUGCAUUGCUUAAGGAUCAAGCAAAGUCUGAGGAUAUUUUGAAAGCAGCUUUCCAUGCUCAUGUUCUUUUAUAUUUUGUUCGUUUAUCAAAUGUCAAUCGAUCUCUGAGAAACCGCAACAAGUAUGACCAUUCAAAACUAGAAUCCCCAAUUCCUACAAACGCUGACUUUGUGGCUCAUGUUGCGGAGUCCUGCAACAUUGUUUCGUCUUCAUAUGGGGUUUUCAAGAGGAAGGCAGCAGAACAGGGAUGGAUAAUGUCAGAUUCAUUGCUUAACCCUGGACGAGCGCGGCUUUGUGAACUUAAAGAGGCAUAAUUUUCUGAUCAUCUCAGUUCACAAUAGUUAUGAGAGCUCAGUUUUGGUCUCUUGAUUUUAGAUUGUGCAGUUGAGACCGAGGUGAAUAUGGUUAUUCCAUGUUAUUUCAUACUGUAAACCAGCACUCAUUAGCCAGCAGAUAAUGGCUUCUCCACAAUUAUUCCUUGUGUUCGCACCGUACUGCAACACUCUUUUAGACUUUGUAGAUCUAUCCCAUCAUGAAAUGGCAGGAGUUUUAUCUUUGUUCAGCUUCAGCUGACCCUUCCUACAAGAAAUGAAGCAUGAUUUACUGACAACGAUUUUGUACAAUAAGUUUCCAGAGUUAACCAGUUUGUAUUGUCAAUGGAGAGUACUGCUUGAAAAAACUGACUGGGUACAGGGCAAUGUAAAACAGUUAGUGAAAGCUAAAUGGAGGAGCAAGUAGAGCUUUCCCGGUGGCAUGAAGGCAUUACAUAGGCAGGCUGUGCCUUUUCUCUUCGAUUUCUUUUUUCGUUUUUCUAUUUUUCGUUCAAAUAACUUAUAUUCAGUUAUUUGAAAGUGGGAGUCAUUAAUAAGAUAUAAUGUUUAGCUUCCUGAUAUGUACAUUUUUUUUCUUAAAAAAAUUCUGUUGCAGACUUCUUUGGCCCUUAUGAUAAUUUAAUGAAUUCACUUCUUGAUUUAAAAGUAUAUUUUCACUCUA
Molecule: non-coding RNA, 2336 nt
Organism: Phoenix dactylifera (date palm)
Lineage: Eukaryota; Viridiplantae; Streptophyta; Magnoliopsida; Arecales; Arecaceae
Source: RefSeq, a predicted model, not a curated record